RNAcentral lists this ribosomal RNA (258 nucleotides) under uncultured prokaryote. RNAcentral's name for it is "partial 16S ribosomal RNA". It matches the Rfam family "Bacterial small subunit ribosomal RNA", at positions 524 to 782 of the family's 1533-position model. The record is from RNAcentral.
CACAUAGGGGCGAGCGUUGUCCGGAAUUACUGGGCGUAAAGGGUGCGCAGGCUGUUAUGCGAGUCUGCUGUGAAAUGUACCGGCUCAACCGGUGCCUUGCGGCGGAUACUGCAUAGCUGGAGUACUGGAGAGGGAAGUGGAAUUCCCGGUGUAGCGGUGAAAUGCGUAGAUAUUGGGAGGAACACCGGUGGCGAAGGCAGGUCUCUGGGCAGUAACUGACGCUGAGGAGCGAAAGCAUGGGUAGCGAACAGGAUUAGA